GACGAACGCUGGCGGCAUGCUUAACACAUGCAAGUCGAACGGAAAGGCCCUGCUUGCAGGGUACUCGAUUGGCGAACGGGUGAGUAACGCGGAGGUGAUCUGCCCUGCACUUCGGGAUAAGCCGGGGAAACUUGCUCUAAUACCGGCUAGGAGCUAUUUGUAGUGUGUUGGUUCGAAAGUUUUUUCGUUGUAGGAUGAGCUCGCGGCCUAUCAGCUUGUUGGUGGGGUAAUGGCCUACCAAGGCGGCGACGGGUAGCCGGCCUGAGAGGGUGGACGGCCACAUUGGGACUGAGAUACGGCCCAGACUCCUACGGGAGGCAGCAGUGGGGAAUAUUGCACAAUGGGCGCAAGCCUGAUGCAGCGACGCCGCGUGGGGGAUGACGGCCUUCGGGUUGUAAACUCCUUUCGCUAGGGACGAAGCUUUUGUGACGGUACCUAGAUAAGAAGCACCGGCUAACUACGUG
Molecule: ribosomal RNA, 464 nt
Filed under: uncultured bacterium
Lineage: Bacteria
Description: partial 16S ribosomal RNA
Rfam family: Bacterial small subunit ribosomal RNA
Source: RNAcentral